CCCUACGGGGGGCAGCAGUGAGGAAUAUUGGUCAAUGGGCGAGAGCCUGAACCAGCCAGGUCGCGUGAAGGAUGACGGCCCUACGGGUUGUAAACUUCUUUUGUCAGGGAGCAAUUGGGUCCACGCGUGGGCUUAGCGAGAGUACCUGAGGAAAAAGCAUCGGCUAACUCCGUGCCAGCAGCCGCGGUAAUACGGAGGAUGCGAGCGUUAUCCGGAUUUAUUGGGUUUAAAGGGUGCGUAGGCGGAAUAUCAAGUCAGCGGUAAAAAUUCGAGGCUCAACCCCGCCCAGCCGUCGGAACUGCCGG
Molecule: ribosomal RNA, 305 nt
Filed under: uncultured bacterium
Lineage: Bacteria
Description: bacterial SSU rRNA
Rfam family: Bacterial small subunit ribosomal RNA
Source: RNAcentral